AUAAUUUGUGGUGAGAUUUUAUGGUUAAAAGAUGUUUAGAAGACUUAGGUUCUAUUUUUGUUGAUCAAACUAAAGUUUUCUAAAAAUCUCAGGGCUCAGGGACCGAUCCUUGAUCAGAGGGACCGGACCCAUCAAGCUUCUCUGCGUAGAAGUUUUUGGGAGACCGGUCUCUGAUCUUGAGGACCGGUUCCCGUAGGUGGUUUUUCUUGUUGCGCAGGGAGGGACCGGUCUCUGAAUUGAGGACCGGU
RNAcentral lists this long non-coding RNA (248 nucleotides) under Ananas comosus (pineapple). Its description in RNAcentral is "long non-coding RNA (ACOM_LNC040057)". The record is from RNAcentral. Lineage: Eukaryota; Viridiplantae; Streptophyta; Magnoliopsida; Poales; Bromeliaceae.